Molecule: ribosomal RNA, 465 nt
Filed under: Vreelandella stevensii
Lineage: Bacteria; Pseudomonadati; Pseudomonadota; Gammaproteobacteria; Oceanospirillales; Halomonadaceae
Description: partial 16S ribosomal RNA
Rfam family: Bacterial small subunit ribosomal RNA
Source: RNAcentral
CCUACGGGUGGCAGCAGUGGGGAAUAUUGGACAAUGGGCGAAAGCCUGAUCCAGCCAUGCCGCGUGUGUGAAGAAGGCCUUCGGGUUGUAAAGCACUUUCAGUGGGGAAGAAAGCCUUGGGGCUAAUACCCUCGAGGAAGGACAUCACCCACAGAAGAAGCACCGGCUAACUCCGUGCCAGCAGCCGCGGUAAUACGGAGGGUGCGAGCGUUAAUCGGAAUUACUGGGCGUAAAGCGCGCGUAGGCGGUCUGAUAAGCCGGUUGUGAAAGCCCCGGGCUCAACCUGGGAACGGCAUCCGGAACUGUCAGGCUAGAGUGCAGGAGAGGAAGGUAGAAUUCCCGGUGUAGCGGUGCAAUGCGUAGAGAUCGGGAGGAAUACCAGUGGCGAAGGCGGCCUUCUGGACUGACACUGACGCUGAGGUGCGAAAGCGUGGGUAGCAAACAGGAUUAGAUACCCCAGUAGUC